UGCGGGAUAGACUGGAGUUGGUCCCAGCGCGGUCUCAUAAGCCGUCCUACGCCGGUUCGAAUCCGGCUCCCGCGU
This 75-nucleotide transfer RNA is filed under the name Telmatocola sphagniphila. RNAcentral describes it as "tRNA-Met". It matches the Rfam family "tRNA". Rfam says of the family: Transfer RNA (tRNA) molecules are approximately 80 nucleotides in length. Their secondary structure includes four short double-helical elements and three loops (D, anti-codon, and T loops). Further hydrogen bonds mediate the characteristic L-shaped molecular structure. tRNAs have two regions of fundamental functional importance: the anti-codon, which is responsible for specific mRNA codon recognition, and the 3' end, to which the tRNAs corresponding amino acid is attached (by aminoacyl-tRNA synthetases). tRNAs cope with the degeneracy of the genetic code in two manners: having more than one tRNA (with a specific anti-codon) for a particular amino acid; and 'wobble' base-pairing, i.e. permitting non-standard base-pairing at the 3rd anti-codon position. The record is from RNAcentral. Lineage: Bacteria; Pseudomonadati; Planctomycetota; Planctomycetia; Gemmatales; Gemmataceae.